UCAUGGAUUCAACUAUUUCCUUUGCAAAGA
This 30-nucleotide non-coding RNA is filed under the name Mus musculus (house mouse). The record is from RNAcentral. Lineage: Eukaryota; Metazoa; Chordata; Mammalia; Rodentia; Muridae.